GCUCGUGCUGAAGGCCUGUUUCCUAGGCUACAGACGAAGGACUUGUUCCUUAUUUGCGCCUAGGGGAAAGUCCCCGGACCGUACGGUAGAGAGUGCCGCGUGCGCGGGCACGUAGACCCUCCCUGCUUUACACCCUAAACCCGCCAAGAUGCGAUCCUGCCCUUGGUGGGGGAGCUGAGCGGCGUGCUGCAGGGCGUCAUCCGUCAGUUCUUCUAGUUACGCAGGCAGUGCGCCUUCCCCGCGCACCAACCACACGGGGCUCAUUCUCAGCGCGGC
RNAcentral lists this RNase MRP RNA (276 nucleotides) under Rhinolophus ferrumequinum (greater horseshoe bat). Its description in RNAcentral is "RNase MRP (ENSRFEG00010010466.1)". It matches the Rfam family "RNase MRP". From Rfam's summary of the family: RNase MRP is an enzymatically active ribonucleoprotein with two distinct roles in eukaryotes. In mitochondria it plays a direct role in the initiation of mitochondrial DNA replication. In the nucleus it is involved in precursor rRNA processing, where it cleaves the internal transcribed spacer 1 between 18S and 5.8S rRNAs. The record is from Rfam by way of RNAcentral. Lineage: Eukaryota; Metazoa; Chordata; Mammalia; Chiroptera; Rhinolophidae.